Long non-coding RNA from Peromyscus californicus insignis, 571 nucleotides. RefSeq lists it as uncharacterized. The record is from RefSeq and is a predicted model, not a curated record. The transcript has 2 exons. NCBI's taxonomy places the organism in Eukaryota, Metazoa, Chordata, Mammalia, Rodentia, Cricetidae.
GGCCCCGAGGGCCCCGCACAGCUUAAGCGCUCAAGGUUUCUCCCACCACAAUCCUGAGUGGUGACAAGAUGGUGACCUCGUUAGGGUGCUGCGUUUGGCGCAAUGGACCCCAAAGGCUACGGCCGGGCGCCCUCACUGGGUUCUGUGUGCUCGCGCGCGUUGGAGCCACCAGGAGCAUCUGCCUACCUAGAGGACUUCUGAAGGCAUCACUCUAAACUUGAACCAGAUCUUCCUGCAUUAGUGGGCUGGAUAUAGUAGCAGAGUGGAGGAAAGCAGAGAACCCAUGUUCUGAAUUCCUCUCCAGCAUGCGUCCAAGAGCUAGCCUCCAGAGCCUGAAGCAAAAGACCCCACUGUUCCAAUUUUCAUUUCAGACAUGCUCAUUUCUGAGAUGCUCAUCAUCCAGUCAAGAGUUGCCUGUUGAAUGUUUUAUGCUGACUCACCCUGUUUCAGGGCAAUUUCCUCAUCUGUAUGUCAAGGUUGAACAUAUUUUACCAUCUUACCAAUCAAGUCCAGAAGAUACGAUGAUGCUAUAUUUUCAGAAAUUAAUAAACAUAUCUAGUAUUAUAAGUUU